RNAcentral lists this ribosomal RNA (253 nucleotides) under uncultured bacterium. RNAcentral's name for it is "partial 16S ribosomal RNA". It matches the Rfam family "Bacterial small subunit ribosomal RNA", at positions 524 to 776 of the family's 1533-position model. The record is from RNAcentral.
UACGAAGGGGGCUAGCGUUGCUCGGAAUCACUGGGCGUAAAGGGUGCGUAGGCGGGUCUUUAAGUCAGGGGUGAAAUCCUGGAGCUCAACUCCAGAACUGCCUUUGAUACUGAAGAUCUUGAGUUCGGGAGAGGUGAGUGGAACUGCGAGUGUAGAGGUGAAAUUCGUAGAUAUUCGCAAGAACACCGGUGGCGAAGGCGGCCAUCUGGCUCGGUACUGACGCUCAGGUUCGAAAGCGUGGGGAGCAAACAGG